RNAcentral lists this ribosomal RNA (315 nucleotides) under Triticum aestivum (bread wheat). RNAcentral describes it as "partial small subunit ribosomal RNA". Lineage: Eukaryota; Viridiplantae; Streptophyta; Magnoliopsida; Poales; Poaceae. The record is from RNAcentral.
AUGCUUUUGCUUAGAUAUUAUGAUGAUUUUUUUUCAUGUCUUGUGUUGUCGAUCGUUGACAAGACACGGCAAACAGGGAGCCAUGGAGAUGAUGAGCAGGACGGUGUAGGCCAGAAGAUGAUGGUUGAACCUUUGUAUGCAGCCUGCCAGGGAUACCAAAUCAUCGACCUUGACCUGCUUUGCAAUCGAGGUGAGGUCCCUGGCCGGACAAGCAGAGCAGGCAAUCUCGACCUCCGCUCGCUUCUCCCGCCGCUGGAUGAUGCUCUGUCUCUGUGUGUGUACUGCGCUGGGCGCCGCAGGAGCCGACAUUGGUGA